This 52-nucleotide non-coding RNA is filed under the name Ixodes scapularis (black-legged tick). Its description in RNAcentral is "Guanidine-II sequence". It matches the Rfam family "Guanidine-II riboswitch aptamer (mini-ykkC)". From Rfam's summary of the family: Simpler in structure and has fewer highly conserved nucleotide positions than the ykkC-yxkD leader. Despite this each of its two stem-loop structures directly bind free guanidine. Therefore, mini-ykkC RNA motif represents a distinct class of guanidine-sensing RNAs. The record is from Rfam by way of RNAcentral. Lineage: Eukaryota; Metazoa; Arthropoda; Arachnida; Ixodida; Ixodidae.
CCUAGAGGACGACCUCAAGGACGACGUCUAGGGGACCUCGAGGACGACCUCA